RNAcentral lists this ribosomal RNA (466 nucleotides) under uncultured bacterium. RNAcentral describes it as "partial 16S ribosomal RNA". It matches the Rfam family "Bacterial small subunit ribosomal RNA", at positions 28 to 507 of the family's 1533-position model. The record is from RNAcentral.
GAUGAACGCUGGCGGCGUGCUUAACACAUGCAAGUCGAACGAUGAAGCUCAGCUUGCUGGGUGGAUUAGUGGCGAACGGGUGAGUAACACGUGAGUAACCUGCCCUUAACUCUGGGAUAAGCCUGGGAAACUAGGUCUAAUACCGGAUAGGAGCGCCUACCGCAUGGUGGGUGUUGGAAAGAUUUAUCGGUUUUGGAUGGACUCGCGGCCUAUCAGCUUGUUGGUGAGGUAGUGGCUCACCAAGGCGACGACGGGUAGCCGGCCUGAGAGGGUGACCGGCCACACUGGGACUGAGACACGGCCCAGACUCCUACGGGAGGCAGCAGUGGGGAAUAUUGCACAAUGGGCGAAAGCCUGAUGCAGCGACGCCGCGUGAGGGAUGACGGCCUUCGGGUUGUAAACCUCUUUCAGUAGGGAAGAAGCGAAAGUGACGGUACCUGCAGAAGAAGCACCGGCUAACUACGUG